CCUACGGGAGGCUGCAGUGGGGAAUAUUGGACAAUGGGGGGAACCCUGAUCCAGCCAUGCCGCGUGUGUGAAGAAGGCCCUCGGGUUGUAAAGCACUUCCAGUGAGGAAGAACGCCUGGUGGUUAAUACCCAUCAGGAAAGACAUCACUCACAGAAGAAGCACCGGCUAACUCCGUGCCAGCAGCCGCGGUAAUACGGAGGGUGCGAGCGUUAAUCGGAAUUACUGGGCGUAAAGCGCGCGUAGGUGGCUUGAUAAGCCGGUUGUGAAAGCCCCGGGCUCAACCUGGGAACGGCAUCCGGAACUGUCAAGCUAGAGUGCAGGAGAGGAAGGUAGAAUUCCCGGUGUAGCGGUGAAAUGCGUAGAGAUCGGGAGGAAUACCAGUGGCGAAGGCGGCCUUCUGGACUGACACUGACACUGAGGUGCGAAAGCGUGGGUAGCAAACAGGAUUAGAUACCCGUGUAGUC
RNAcentral lists this ribosomal RNA (465 nucleotides) under Vreelandella stevensii. RNAcentral describes it as "partial 16S ribosomal RNA". It matches the Rfam family "Bacterial small subunit ribosomal RNA", at positions 338 to 795 of the family's 1533-position model. Lineage: Bacteria; Pseudomonadati; Pseudomonadota; Gammaproteobacteria; Oceanospirillales; Halomonadaceae. The record is from RNAcentral.